UACCAUGCUGAAUAUACCGGUUCUCGUUAGAUCACCGAAGUUAAGCAUCAUUGGGCGCGGUCAGUACUUGGGUGGGUGACCACCUGGGAACACUGCGUGCCGUU
RNAcentral lists this ribosomal RNA (104 nucleotides) under Caerostris darwini. Lineage: Eukaryota; Metazoa; Arthropoda; Arachnida; Araneae; Araneidae. The record is from RNAcentral.